Molecule: small nucleolar RNA, 67 nt
Organism: Cebus imitator (Panamanian white-faced capuchin)
Lineage: Eukaryota; Metazoa; Chordata; Mammalia; Primates; Cebidae
Source: Ensembl
GGUUAAUGAUGUAAUAUAUUAGCUGAACCCAAAGUUGAAGUGAGUUCUAAAAUUACACCAAGACCUU